CAGUAGCCGCGGGAAUACGGAGGGUGCAAGCGUUAAUCGGAAUUACUGGGCGUAAAGCGCACGCAGGCGGUCUGACAAGUCAGAUGUGAAAUCCCCGGGCUUAACCUGGGAACUGCAUUUGAAACUGUCAGGCUGGAGUCUUGUAGAGGGGGGUAGAAUUCCAGGUGUAGCGGUGAAAUGCGUAGAGAUCUGGAGGAAUACCGGUGGCGAAGGCGGCCCCCUGGACAAAGACUGACGCUCAGGUGCGAAAGCGUGGGGAGCAAACAGGAUUAGAUACCCGGGUAGUCCCUGUCUCUUAUAA
Molecule: ribosomal RNA, 301 nt
Filed under: uncultured bacterium
Lineage: Bacteria
Description: partial 16S ribosomal RNA
Rfam family: Bacterial small subunit ribosomal RNA
Source: RNAcentral